Molecule: ribosomal RNA, 514 nt
Filed under: uncultured bacterium
Lineage: Bacteria
Description: bacterial SSU rRNA
Rfam family: Bacterial small subunit ribosomal RNA
Source: RNAcentral
AAUUGAUCUGGUUCAGGAUGAACGCUAGCGACAGGCUAACACAUGCAAGUCGAGGGGCAUCACGGGAGUAGCAAUACAACGUGGUGGCGACCGGCGCACGGGUGAGUAACGCGUAUGCAACCUACCUAUCAGAGGGGAAUAACCCGGCGAAAGUCGGACUAAUACCGCAUAAAACAGGGGCACCGCAUGGUGAUAUUUGUUAAAGAAAUUCGCUGAUAGAUGGGCAUGCGUUCCAUUAGGUAGUUGGUGAGGUAACGGCUCACCAAGCCGACGAUGGAUAGGGAACUGAGAGGUUGGUCCCCCACACUGGUACUGAGACACGGACCAGACUCCUACGGGAGGCAGCAGUGAGGAAUAUUGGUCAAUGGGCGGGAGCCUGAACCAGCCAAGUCGCGUGAAGGAAGAAGGAUCUAUGGUUCGUAAACUUCUUUUGCAGGGGAAUAAAGUGCAGGACGUGUCCUGUUUUGUAUGUACCCUGAGAAUAAGGAUCGGCUAACUCCGUGCCAGCCGCGGC